AUACGUAGGGGGCGAGCGUUGCCCGGAAUUACUGGGUGUAAAGGGAGCGUAGGCGGGAGUGCAAGUCAGAUGUGAAAUACAUGGGCUCAACCCAUGGGCUGCAUUUGAAACUGCAUUUCUUGAGUGAAGUAGAGGUAAGCGGAAUUCCUGGUGUAGCGGUGAAAUGCGUAGAUAUCAGGAGGAACACCGGUGGCGAAGGCGGCUUACUGGGCUUUUACUGACGCUGAGGCUCGAAAGCGUGGGGAGCAAACAGGAUUAGAUACCCUGGUAGUCCACGCUGUAAACGAUGAUUACUAGGUGUGGGGGGACUGACCCCUUCCGUGCCGCAGUUAACACAAUAAGUAAUCCACCUGGGGAGUACGGCCGCAAGGUUGAAACUCAAAUGAAUUGGCGGGG
RNAcentral lists this ribosomal RNA (396 nucleotides) under uncultured bacterium. Its description in RNAcentral is "partial 16S ribosomal RNA". It matches the Rfam family "Bacterial small subunit ribosomal RNA", at positions 523 to 918 of the family's 1533-position model. The record is from RNAcentral.